AUCCCUAGCAUCUGGAGUUUUCCAGAACCAACAGCUUGGCCACAAAGGGUUUCCAGGGCACCUCCCAUGCCUAACUACAAAAAGAAGCAACUGCCGCAAGCUCAACCUCCCCGAGAUGACCGACAAAGGCCGUCGUAACGAAGCCAAUGGAGAAUUGGAAGACUGCAGUGAGAAUAGCAGGUGCAGAGAGGUGCUGACAGCAAGUUUUAAAGAGUUGAUAGUAAGCAAGGUGAACUUUGCAGGUACUUCUGUUAAUCGCCUUCUCUAAAUUUUGUUUAUUUUCUUUAACAAUCUUUAAUCAAAUGACUUAUUUUUGAAAUAAUUCUAUUCAAUAUAAUUCAGGAUUAAGUGAUUGAUUAAAAUAGUUACGAAGUUCAUGCUAUUUUAAAAUUAGGUGGCUUUCCGCAAUUGAGUGAAUGUUCACCUAAAACUGAUUAGCAUGCAAAGCCGAGAAGAUUUAGGACGACUAUCAUAUAAUAAUAAGUAUUAGAAAGAUCAAACAACAAGAUGAAAAUAAUAAUACUUAGUGGUUUGCAUUGCAAGAAAUCAAUUUCUGAUUUAUUUAUUAAAUAUAAUGAAGUCAGAGGGUUUUCCAAUUUUAUCAUCAUCAGAUUGAAAACCUCCCAAAAAAUUUUCUAUUGCCACAGAGGUGUUUCACGAAUGUCGUAUAAGCAUUUGUCAUAUAUAUAUGAUUUUGUUAUUAAGACAUAAACCUGCUGCAUUACUUACAUAGAUGAGCCAAUCUCUUCCUUAAAAGGAAAGCAAUUCAUUCAAACCCAUGGGCAUUUGAAUAUUUUAUUUAGGAAUUUCUCUUUAUUCUCUCUUCUUCUUUUUUUUCGCUGAAAAUCAGAGUAGAGCUAUUUGAAUGAGCAGAGGCUUCAUUACAUAGGGAUCAUAAAAUAGGUACAAGUAAUAAGAAGAAAAAGGCGAAGCAAAUUAAAGAAGAGAAGCAGAGGAGCUUAAGGUUCCUGG
Long non-coding RNA from Ananas comosus (pineapple), 972 nucleotides. RefSeq lists it as uncharacterized. The transcript is spliced from 3 exons. The record is from RefSeq and is a predicted model, not a curated record. Lineage: Eukaryota; Viridiplantae; Streptophyta; Magnoliopsida; Poales; Bromeliaceae.